Molecule: ribosomal RNA, 253 nt
Filed under: uncultured bacterium
Lineage: Bacteria
Description: partial 16S ribosomal RNA
Rfam family: Bacterial small subunit ribosomal RNA
Source: RNAcentral
UACAGAGGGUGCAAGCGUUGUUCGGAAUUAUUGGGCGUAAAGCGUGUGUAGGCGGCUUUGCAAGUCUGGUGUGAAAUCCCUCGGCUUAACCGAGGAAGUGCGCCAGAAACUGCAGAGCUUGAGUACCGGAGAGGAUGGUGGAAUUCCCCAAGUAGAGGUGAAAUUCGUAGAUAUGGGGAGGAACACCGGUGGCGAAGGCGACCAUCUGGACGGAUACUGACGCUGAGACGCGAAAGCGUGGGGAGCAAACAGG